GUUCUUCUUCUUCUUUUAAUUCUUCUUCUUUUAAUUCUUGUUCUUCUUUCUUCUUAGUAGUGUGAGUAGGAGUAGGAGUCUCGCUCAUCUUCUUCUUCUUUUGUCUCCUCUAGAGAAGAGAGAAGAACAAGAAGAGAGACUUUUUCUGUUGUUUCACUCAGACAGAAGAAAGAAAGAAAGA
RNAcentral lists this non-coding RNA (181 nucleotides) under Bathycoccus prasinos. The record is from RNAcentral. Lineage: Eukaryota; Viridiplantae; Chlorophyta; Mamiellophyceae; Mamiellales; Bathycoccaceae.